AGUGAACGCUGGCGGUAGGCCUAACACAUGCAAGUCGAACGGCAGCACAGGAGAGCUUGCUCUCUGGGUGGCGAGUGGCGGACGGGUGAGGAGUACAUCGGAAUCUGCCCAGUCGUGGGGGAUAUCGUAGGGAAACUUACGCUAAUACCGCAUACGACCUGCGGGUGAAAGAGGGGGGUCGCGAGACCUCGCGCGCGGGUAGGAGCGGGUGUCGGAUUAGCUAGUUGGCGGGGUAAUGGCCCACCAAGGCGACGAUCCGUAGCUGGUCUGAGAGGAUGAUCAGCCACACUGGAACUGAGACACGGUCCAGACUCCUACGGGAGGCAGCAGUGGGGAAUAUUGGACAAUGGGCGCAAGCCUGAUCCAGCCAUACCGCGUGGGUGAAGAAGGCCUUCGGGUUGUAAAGCCCUUUUGUUGGGAAAGAAAUCUUUCAGGCUAAUACCCUGGGAGGAUGACGGUACCCAAAGAAUAAGCACCGGCUAACUUCGUG
This 490-nucleotide ribosomal RNA is filed under the name uncultured bacterium. RNAcentral describes it as "partial 16S ribosomal RNA". It matches the Rfam family "Bacterial small subunit ribosomal RNA", at positions 29 to 507 of the family's 1533-position model. The record is from RNAcentral.